CCUACGGGAGGCAGCAGUGAGGAAUAUUGGUCAAUGGACGAGAGUCUGAACCAGCCAAGUAGCGUGAAGGAUGACUGCCCUAUGGGUUGUAAACUUCUUUUAUAUGGGAAUAAAACGUUCCACGUGUGGGAUUUUGUAUGUACCAUAUGAAUAAGGAUCGGCUAACUCCGUGCCAGCAGCCGCGGUAAUACGGAGGAUCCGAGCGUUAUCCGGAUUUAUUGGGUUUAAAGGGAGCGUAGGUGGAUUGUUAAGUCAGUUGUGAAAGUUUGGGGCUCAACCGUAAAAUUGCAGGUGAAACUGGCAGUCUUGAGUACAGUAGAGGUGGGCGGAAUUCGUGGUGUAGCGGUGAAAUGCUUAGAUAUCACGAAGAACUCCGAUUGCGAAGGCAGUUCACUGGACUGCAACUGACACUGAGGCUCGAAAGUGUGGGUAUCAAACAGGAUUAGAUACCCUAGUAGUC
RNAcentral lists this ribosomal RNA (460 nucleotides) under uncultured bacterium. RNAcentral's name for it is "partial 16S ribosomal RNA". It matches the Rfam family "Bacterial small subunit ribosomal RNA", at positions 338 to 795 of the family's 1533-position model. The record is from RNAcentral.